RNAcentral lists this ribosomal RNA (301 nucleotides) under uncultured bacterium. RNAcentral describes it as "partial 16S ribosomal RNA". It matches the Rfam family "Bacterial small subunit ribosomal RNA", at positions 509 to 807 of the family's 1533-position model. The record is from RNAcentral.
CAGCCGCCGCGGUAAUACGAAGGGGGCUAGCGUUGCUCGGAAUCACUGGGCGUAAAGGGUGCGUAGGCGGGUCUUUAAGCCAGGGGUGAAGUCCUGGAGCUCAACUCCAGAACUGCCUUUGAUACUGAAGAUCUUGAGUUCGGGAGAGGUGAGUGGAACUGCGAGUGUAGAGGUGAAAUUCGUAGAUAUUCGCAAGAACACCAGUGGCGAAGGCGGCUCACUGGCCCGAUACUGACGCUGAGGCACGAAAGCGUGGGGAGCAAACAGGAUUAGAGACCCGCGUAGUCCCUGUCUCUUAUAC